This 691-nucleotide ribosomal RNA is filed under the name uncultured Anaplasmataceae bacterium. RNAcentral's name for it is "bacterial SSU rRNA". It matches the Rfam family "Bacterial small subunit ribosomal RNA", at positions 62 to 779 of the family's 1533-position model. Lineage: Bacteria; Pseudomonadati; Pseudomonadota; Alphaproteobacteria; Rickettsiales; Anaplasmataceae. The record is from RNAcentral.
UCGAGCGGUAACAUGGAUAGCUUGCUAUUUGAUGACGAGCGGCGGACGGCUGAGUAACGCGUGGGAAUUUGCCCCAAAGUGAGGGAUAACUGCCCGAAAGGGUAGCUAAUACCGCAUAUGAUCUUCGGAUUAAAGGAUUUAUCCGCUUUGGGAGUGGCCCGCGUCGGAUUAGGUAGUUGGUGAGGUAAUGGCUCACCAAGCCGACGAUCCGUAGCUGGUCUGAGAGGAUGAUCAGCCAGACUGGAACUGAGACACGGUCCAGACUCCUACGGGAGGCAGCAGUAGGGAAUCUUCCACAAUGGGCGAAAGCCUGAUGGAGCAACGCCGCGUGAAGGAUGAAGGCCUUCGGGUUGUAAACUUCUUUUAUGAGUGAAGAAUAUGACGGUAACUCAUGAAUAAGCACCGGCUAACUACGUGCCAGCAGCCGCGGUCAUACGUAGGGUGCAAGCAUUAUCCGGAGUGACUGGGCGUAAAGAGUUGCGUAGGCGGUUUAAUAAGUGAAUAGUGAAACCUGGUGGCUCAACCAUACAGACUAUUAUUCAAACUGUUAAACUCGAGAGUGGUAGAGGUCACUGGAAUUUCUUGUGUAGGAGUGAAAUCCGUAGAUAUAAGAAGGAACACCGAUGGCGUAGGCAGGUGACUGGACCAUUUCUGACGCUAAGGCACGAAAGCGUGGGGAGCGAACCGGAUU